CCAGGAAAACUGAUGUCCCGGUGCCAGCGGUGCUUGUCUUGCAGUCACACCCUUUGCACGUCAAUUUGGACAUCCUGGUCUACUCACAGCGCUGUGUUUGAAUCCUGUGCAACGUGAUGGAUUUUUCUACCCAAACAGUAGUGGUGGGUGACACACACUAUGGGUCAGGCACUGUGCUAAAAGUGCAGUAACUCAUUUAAUGCUCACAGCAGCCCUGUGAGGUGGAUGCUAUUAUCAUCUCCAUUCUUUAGAGGAGGAAACAGGCACAGUGAGGUUAACUAACCAGCCCAAGGUCACCCAGCUAGUAAGUGGCACAGCUAGGAUUUGAACUCAGGCAGCCUGGCACUGGAGUCUGUGCUCUUAACCACUCAUUACAGGGGCACUUUAUGAUCCCCAGCUUCACUGCAGGGGCUUUUGUCUGGGGGCUGGCAGAGGACAUUUCUCUCGGGUCCCACAGGGCCCACUGGGAAGGGCGGGGUUGGCCGUCACUCAGAUUCCGCUCCGCUGCUGUCUGGGCUGGGAGCCCCCUCCCGGUUCCCUCCCGUGAUCUGUUCCUUCUCCUCCUUCAGGACUCAGGUCAAUGUCCCUCCUGGUCCCUGAGUCCCCAUCCAAGCCCCCACACCCGUCACUCCCUCCCUGCAGCCUGGUUAGCUGCCUUCCCAGCGCCUCUCACCUCAGGAAAUCCUCUCGAGCGUCGCUGGAGUGAUUUCUUGCUCAUCGUCUGUCUCCGGCCACAAGUGCAGGGUCUGUAGGGGCAGGAUGGGGACCACGGCCGCACCCCCAGAGCCUGGAGCUGUGCCUGGCACAGAGCACGUGCUUAACAGAGCCCGUUGGAUGAAUGCCACACGUUGGCCGCUGGAGGAUGCUGGAAGAAAUCUCCAAGAUCGCCCUCUGACCUGCUCACUUGACAGAGGACAUGGUGGGAGGUGGGGGGCUCCAGAACUGUGCCCCUGACCACCUGGCUGCACUGCCACACGGCACACAUCAUGGACACACAGGACACGGAUUGCCAAGGAGCCCAUUGACUUUCUAGCAAGAGCGAAGCCGUCUGUGCGCAAGACUCAGUCUGAGGAGUGAUGGGCCACAGGCUGCAGUGGAAUAAACUGGGAAGCUCUGCUCCCCUUGUCACAUCCUGAGCUCAAACCAGACAGGGUCCUUAGGAGGUGACAGCCGACAGCGUUAAAGAAAGUGUCAGCGGUUGCUGUGGGAAGAUGUUCCCCCAGGAGAGGAAGCUGGGGAGCCAGCACCCACAAUCUUGGUGGAGUCUCUUUCUAGAACCUGCUUGCGUCUCUCAGCCACCUGUCACACAGAGCUGCCUGGAGACCAAGUGACGUGGAAUGAGCCUCUCCCGCCACCUCCCAGGGCUGUUGGGGGUCACCUCCACUGAUGGAUGCCAGGACACGCUGGCAGCGUGUGUGGUUGCUCUCUGCCUGCAAAUUAUUCCAAAAUCUGGUGCCGGGUUUCCAGCCCAUGACGUGUUUUCAUGUCUGUUUCUAGUCCAUAUUGCAAAGGUAGUUUCCUCUGCAGCCAGCACAGGUACGUUACUAUUUAUUAAACUCUGCACGUUAUUGAGAUUUUACUAGUUUUCUCUCGUGUCCUUUUUCCGUUCUACACUCCCAUUCAGGACACCAAAUUAUCUACACUGUGUGUUUCAAACAUUUUUGGACAUAACCCAAAGUUAAAAGUGCAUUUUAC
Long non-coding RNA from Equus caballus (horse), 1695 nucleotides. Lineage: Eukaryota; Metazoa; Chordata; Mammalia; Perissodactyla; Equidae. The record is from Ensembl.